UACGUAGGGUGCAAGCGUUGUCCGGAAUUAUUGGGCGUAAAGAGCUCGUAGGCGGUCUGUCGCGUCGGCUGUGAAAACCCGGAGCUCAACUCCGGGCCUGCAGUCGAUACGGGCAGACUGGAGUUCGGCAGGGGAGACUGGAAUUCCUGGUGUAGCGGUGAAAUGCGCAGAGUAUCAGGAGGAACACCGGUGGCGGAGGCGGGUCUCGUGGGCCGAUACUGACGCUGAGGAGCGAAAGCGUGGGGAGCGAACAGG
RNAcentral lists this ribosomal RNA (255 nucleotides) under uncultured bacterium. RNAcentral's name for it is "partial 16S ribosomal RNA". It matches the Rfam family "Bacterial small subunit ribosomal RNA", at positions 524 to 776 of the family's 1533-position model. The record is from RNAcentral.